CAGCAGCCGCGGUAAUACCGGCGGCCCGAGUGGCGGUCACUCUUAUUGGGCUUAAAGCGUCCGUAGCCGGGUUGGGAAGUCCUCCGGGAAAUCUGGCCGCUUAACGGUCAGAAUGCCGGAGGAUACUCCCAGCCUAGGGAGCGGGAGAGGCCGAGGGUAUUCCCGGAGUAGGGGUGAAAUCCUAUAAUCCCGGGAGGACCACCUGUGGCGAAGGCGCUCGGCUGGAACGCGUCCGACGGUGAGGGACGAAGGCCAGGGGAGCAAACCGGAUUAGAUACCCGGGUAGUCCUGGCUGUAAACGAUGCGGACUUUGUGUCGGACAAGCUAUGAGCUUGUCCGGUGCCGGAGGGAAACCGUUAAGUCCGCCGCCUGGGGAGUACGGCCGCAAGGCUGAAACUUAAAGGGAUUGGCGGG
This 414-nucleotide ribosomal RNA is filed under the name uncultured microorganism. RNAcentral's name for it is "bacterial SSU rRNA". It matches the Rfam family "Archaeal small subunit ribosomal RNA", at positions 459 to 872 of the family's 1478-position model. The record is from RNAcentral.